Molecule: ribosomal RNA, 252 nt
Filed under: uncultured bacterium
Lineage: Bacteria
Description: partial 16S ribosomal RNA
Rfam family: Bacterial small subunit ribosomal RNA
Source: RNAcentral
UACGUAGGGUGCAAGCGUUGUCCGGAAUUAUUGGGCGUAAAGAGCUCGUAGGCGGCCUGUUACGUCUGCUGUGAAAUCCCGGGGCUUAACCCCGGGCGUGCAGUGGAUACGGGCAGGCUGGAGGCAGGCAGGGGAGAACGGAAUUCCCGGUGUAGCGGUGAAAUGCGCAGAUAUCGGGAGGAACACCGGUGGCGAAGGCGGUUCUCUGGGCCUGUACUGACGCUGAGGAGCGAAAGCGUGGGAGCGAACAGG